CCUACGGGGGACAGCAGUAGGGAAUUUUGCGCAAUGGGGGAAACCCUGACGCAGCAACGCCGCGUGAUUGAUGAAGCCCUUCGGGGUGUAAAGAUCUGUCAGUGGGGACGAAACUUGACGGUACCCACAGAGGAAGCAUCGGCUAACUACGUGCCAGCAGCCGCGGUAAUACGUAGGGGGCAAGCGUUAUCCGGAUUUACUGGGUGUAAAGGGAGCGUAGACGGCAGCACAAGUCUGGAGUGAAAUCCCGGGGCUUAACCCCGGAACUGCUUUGGAAACUGUGCGGCUGGAGUGCAGGAGGGGUAAGCGGAAUUCCUAGUGUAGCGGUGAAAUGCGUAGAUAUUAGGAGGAACACCGGUGGCGAAGGCGGCUUACUGGACUGUAACUGACGUUGAGGCUCGAAAGCGUGGGGAGCAAACAGGAUUAGAUACCCCAGUAGUC
Molecule: ribosomal RNA, 441 nt
Filed under: uncultured bacterium
Lineage: Bacteria
Description: partial 16S ribosomal RNA
Rfam family: Bacterial small subunit ribosomal RNA
Source: RNAcentral